AACGAACGCUGGCGGCAUGCCUAACACAUGCGAGUCGAACGAGACCUUCGGGUCUAGUGGCGCACGGGUGCGUAACGCGUGGGAACCUGCCCUUAGGUUCGGAAUAACUCCCCGAAAGGGGUGCUAAUACCGGAUAAUGUCUUCGGACCAAAGAUUUAUCGCCUUUGGAUGGGCCCGCGUUGGAUUAGCUAGUUGGUAGGGUAAAAGCCUACCAAGGCGACGAUCCAUAGCUGGUCUGAGAGGAUGAUCAGCCACACUGGGACUGAGACACGGCCCAGACUCCUACGGGAGGCAGCAGUGGGGAAUAUUGGACAAUGGGCGAAAGCCUGAUCCAGCAAUGCCGCGUGAGUGAUGAAGGCCUCAGGGUUGUAAAGCUCUUUUACCCGGGAUGAUAAUGACAGUACCGGGAGAAUAAGCUCCGGCUAACUCCGUG
RNAcentral lists this ribosomal RNA (433 nucleotides) under uncultured bacterium. RNAcentral describes it as "partial 16S ribosomal RNA". It matches the Rfam family "Bacterial small subunit ribosomal RNA", at positions 29 to 507 of the family's 1533-position model. The record is from RNAcentral.